AGAGUUUGAUCAUGGCUCAGAUUGAACGCUGGCGGCAUGCUUUACACAUGCAAGUCGAACGCGGUCGGGGGGCAACUCCUGACUGAGUGGCGAACGGGUGAGUAAUACAUCGGAACGUACCCCGUUGUGGGGGAUAACCCACCGAAAGGUGGGCUAAUACCGCAUACGCCCCGAGGGGGAAAGCGGGGGACCUGAGAGGGCCUCGCGCGAUGGGAGCGGCCGAUGUCGGAUUAGCUAGUAGGUUGGGUAAAGGCUGACCUAGGCGACGAUCCGUAGCUGGUCUGAGAGGAUGAUCAGCCACACUGGGACUGAGACACGGCCCAGACUCCUACGGGAGGCAGCAGUGGGGAAUUUUGGACAAUGAGGGCAACCCUGAUCCAGCCAUGCCGCGUGAGUGAAGAAGGCCUUCGGGUUGUAAAGCUCUUUCGGCCGGAACGAAAUCGCAUCUUCUAAUACGGGGUGUGGAUGACGGUACCGGAAGAAGAAGCACCGGCUAACUACGUGCCAGCAGCCGCGGUAAUACGUAGGGUGCGAGCGUUAAUCGGAAUUACUGGGCGUAAAGCGUGCGCAGGCGGCUCUUCAAGUCAGAUGUGAAAGCCCCGGGCUUAACCUGGGAACUGCGUUUGAAACUGGAGGGCUAGAGUGUGGCAGAGGGAGGUGGAAUUCCACGUAGCAGUGAAAUGCGUAGAGAUGUGGAGGAACACCGAUGGCGAAGGCAGCCUCCUGGGCCAACACUGACGCUCAGGCACGAAAGCGUGGGGAGCAAACAGGAUUAGAUACCCUAGUAGUCC
This 791-nucleotide ribosomal RNA is filed under the name uncultured bacterium. RNAcentral describes it as "bacterial SSU rRNA". It matches the Rfam family "Bacterial small subunit ribosomal RNA", at positions 8 to 796 of the family's 1533-position model. The record is from RNAcentral.